UGGGGAAUAUUGGACAAUGGGCGAAAGCCUGAUCCAGCCAUGCCGCGUGUGUGAAGAAGAUCUUCGGAUUGUAAAGCACUUUAAGUUGGGAGGAAGGGCAGUAAGCGAAUACCUUGCUGUUUUGACGUUACCGACAGAAUAAGCACCGGCUAACUCUGUGCCAGCAGCCGCGGUAAUACAGAGGGUGCAAGCGUUAAUCGGAAUUACUGGGCGUAAAGCGCGCGUAGGUGGUUCGUUAAGUUGAAUGUGAGAGCCCCGGGCUCAACCUGGGAACGGCAGCCAAAACUGGCGAGCUAGAGUAGGGCAGAGGGUGGUGGAAGUUCCUGUGUAGCGGUGAGAUGCGUAGAUAUAGGAAGGAACACCAGUGGCGAAGGCGACCACCUGGGCUCAUACUAACACUGAGGUGAGAAGGCGUGGGGAGCAAACAGG
Molecule: ribosomal RNA, 429 nt
Filed under: Pseudomonadota bacterium
Lineage: Bacteria; Pseudomonadati; Pseudomonadota
Description: Proteobacteria bacterium partial 16S ribosomal RNA
Rfam family: Bacterial small subunit ribosomal RNA
Source: RNAcentral